RNAcentral lists this ribosomal RNA (253 nucleotides) under uncultured bacterium. RNAcentral describes it as "partial 16S ribosomal RNA". It matches the Rfam family "Bacterial small subunit ribosomal RNA", at positions 524 to 776 of the family's 1533-position model. The record is from RNAcentral.
UACGUAGGGGGCUAGCGUUGUCCGGAAUCAUUGGGCGUAAAGCGCGUGUAGGCGGUCCGGUAAGUCCGCUGUGAAAGUCCAGGGCUCAACCCUGGAAAGCCGGUGGAUACUGUCGGGCUCGAGUCCGGAAGAGGCGAGUGGAAUUCCUGGUGUAGCGGUGGAAUGCGCAGAUAUCGGGAGGAACACCAGUGGCGAAGGCGAGUCUCUGGGAUGAUGCUGACGCUGAUGCGCGAAAGCCAGGGGAGCAAACGGG